Molecule: ribosomal RNA, 759 nt
Filed under: Mecodema howittii
Lineage: Eukaryota; Metazoa; Arthropoda; Insecta; Coleoptera; Carabidae
Description: partial 16S ribosomal RNA
Rfam family: Bacterial large subunit ribosomal RNA (bases 1-581)
Source: RNAcentral
GUCCUUUUGUUAUAUAUUUAAGGUUUAACCUGCCCACUGAAUAAUUUAAAUGGCCGCAGUAUUUUAACUGUGCAAAGGUAGCAUAAUCAUUAGUUUUUUAAUUAAAAGCUUGUAUGAAAGGUUGGACGAGGUAAAAACUGUCUUUAUUUAAUUAAUUAUAAAAUUUAAUUUUUAAGUUAAAAAGCUUAAAUUUUUUUAAAAGACGAGAAGACCCUAUAGAUCUUUAUAUUUAUUAUUUUAUUUUUAAUUAAGAUUUAUUUAAAUUUUAUUAUAUUAAAUAUUUUAUUGGGGUAAUAAGAAGAUUAAAAAAAUUCUUUUAUUUAUUAUUCAUUGAUUAAUGUUUUAAUGAUCCAAUUUUAUUGAUUAUAAGAUUAAGUUACCUUAGGGAUAACAGCGUAAUUUUUUUAGAGAGUUCAUAUCGAUAAAAAAGUUUGCGACCUCGAUGUUGGAUUAAAGAUUAAUUUAGGUGUAGAUGUUUAAAUUUUUGGUCUGUUCGACCAUUAAAUCUUUACAUGAUCUGAGUUCAGACCGGUGUAAGCCAGGUCGGUUUCUAUCUUUAAUAAAAUAAUAUAUUUUAGUACGAAAGGACCAAAUAUAUAAUAUAUAUAUUUAUUAAUUUUUGAAUAUUAUUAAUUAUUUUGGCAGAUUAGUGCAAUGAAUUUAGAAUUCAUAUAUGUAAAUUUUUACAAGUAAUACUUGUUUUAUAUAGAUAUAAUAUUUUCUUUUAUUUGUAUAUUAUUAUUAAUUAUUUGUGUAUUA